GCAAACUUGGUCAUUUAGAGGAAGUAAAAGUCGUAACAAGGUUUCCGUAGGUGAACCUGCGGAAGGAUCAUUAACGAUCGAGGAUGUGCUGGCGACUGUCUGACGUAUGUGCACUCCUUAUCCUCACACACCUGUGCACCUUUGUAGUCUAGCGUUGAAGGGAGCCUUGGUUCUCUGCUACGACUAUGUUUUUAUACACUCUUUAUUAUUUAUAGAAUGUAUCGUGACCUUAAAAAGUCAUAUAAUUUAAAACAACUUUCAACAACGGAUCUCUUGGUUCUCGCAUCGAUGAAGAACGCAGC
This 302-nucleotide unclassified non-coding RNA is filed under the name uncultured fungus. RNAcentral describes it as "partial contains small subunit ribosomal RNA, internal transcribed spacer 1, and 5.8S ribosomal RNA". The stretch from base 1 to 73 matches the Rfam family "Eukaryotic small subunit ribosomal RNA", at positions 1759 to 1831 of the family's 1831-position model. The record is from RNAcentral. Lineage: Eukaryota; Fungi.